This is a non-coding RNA of Arachis ipaensis, 1139 nucleotides long. The record is from RefSeq and is a predicted model, not a curated record. Lineage: Eukaryota; Viridiplantae; Streptophyta; Magnoliopsida; Fabales; Fabaceae.
GCCCUGUUCGCAACGGAUAACUCCUAUUCAAUCGCAGCCUCAAUACUCUGUGGCAGAUGAAAUCAAUGCAAGCAUUGUCCCAAUACGCACCAUAGAGGGGGUUCUUAAUAUGACACAGGAAACCUCUUGCUGGAUUGUGGGAAACAUUGUGUCUUUAGAGGUCGGUAAAGAUGACUGGUCCUAUACGUCGUGUAAGACAUGUCCAAAGAAAGUUCUAGAGAGCAAAGAUAGAUACUGAUUUGAUCAUUGUAGGCGUGUAGGCUUCAAGGCUAUGCUAAGGUAUAGGCUGCAAGUAAUCGUGACUGAUGGAAGUGGUUGUAUGAAGCUCCUUCUAUGGAACAAAGAAGCAGAGCAAAUGGUGCAAAAGGUUGCGGAGAAAAUUAAGGAGUUAUCUAUAAGUCUAAUUGAUGGGAGUUUAAAAUACUUUGCUUCUGUAUUGUAUGUUUUCUGGAAUGAUAACAAAAUUAUUAUGUGCAUGUAAAGAAGUGGGAAAAAGGAGAGUCGUAUCCUAAGUCCUUGGAUACUAUUGUUGACAAAAGGUUCUUAUUCAAACUCAAUAUCACCUAUAAGAAUAUCAAUGCUGUUGAAGUGGUAUACAGCGUUUUAAAUAUUUCAGAUGAUGAGUAUCUCAUGUCCAUUUUUGGUUUUGCCAAUUCUUCUUUCAAUGCUUCUGUAAGUAUAGCAUGUUGCGAUUGGAACUAGAACUGAGUUGUGUUGAACAAUUUAUUGUUCAAACUAACAUCUAGCCUUCAAAUGAUCUUGGUUCCUGCAGUGCUCUCAACAUGUACCUAAUACCUCUACAACUGAAACAGGUGAUAAUAGCAAUGGACAUGAGGCAAUUUCUCUGUCCAACGUAAGAAGUUAUUGUAUUUUUUUUAUUGUUAUCCACCUUAUAUAGAGAUGAUUGGGCCUGAUCAAGAGGUCACUCAUGUUUUACUUGCUAAUUCUCGAGUUUUCGUGAACAAUAGGAUUCAGCAGUUGAGAGCAACUGUGAUAGCUCCUAUGAGACUACAGCCAAGAGGUCCUCUCCUGAUAUAGGUGAUGGCUCAACAGCAGAAGCAGUUGUGUCUGUAGAUGUGCAAGCAUCAACUAACAAGACUUUUAAGAGGAAUUGUGGAAAAAAGGUUGGAUUGAAAACU